This 365-nucleotide long non-coding RNA is filed under the name Homo sapiens (human). RNAcentral describes it as "HSALNT0052046". Lineage: Eukaryota; Metazoa; Chordata; Mammalia; Primates; Hominidae. The record is from RNAcentral.
CACAUGGGGACCCCUCCCCCUAGUGAGGAAAUGUACCCCUGAAGAGGCAUCCUCCUGGCCACUGGGCCCACUGCUACCCUGCCACUGCUGGACCCAAAGGAGACAACAUUUAUGAAUGGAGGUCAACUAUAUUGGGACCCCCAGGAUCUGUCUAUGAAGGAGGGGUGUUCUUUCUUGACAUUACCUUUUCACCAGACUAUCCGUUUAAACCCCCUAAGGUUACCUUCCGAACAAGAAUCUAUCACUGUAAUAUUAACAGCCAAGGUGUGAUCUGUCUGGACAUCUUAAAGGACAACUGGAGUCCGGCUUUAACUAUUUCUAAAGUUCUCCUCUCCAUCUGCUCACUUCUUACAGAUUGCAACCCU